CUUAGAACAUGUUGUCUCGCUUGUACUAGCCUACGGUUUAGUCUGUUCUUAGCGUGAAGCCCUUCGGACGUUCUGUUUGUUUCACAAGUCUGGACAGCAAAGAAAAGAUUGAGGUUUCACAUUCGCAAGACGACAGCAAUAUCUAUUGUAUCACAAAGCAGUGCGGGAUCCGAGCCCAAUUUCAGUACAUAUAUUUAAAAAUGGUCACCUUUUUGUGCGCUUUGUCACUACGGGGAUUGCCGUCCACAGUGAUUUGAUUGCUUUCUGCCACCAAUUUUAGGUCUGUCUUUUCAAAAG
Molecule: long non-coding RNA, 297 nt
Organism: Drosophila biarmipes
Lineage: Eukaryota; Metazoa; Arthropoda; Insecta; Diptera; Drosophilidae
Exons: 3
Source: RefSeq, a predicted model, not a curated record